This 542-nucleotide long non-coding RNA is filed under the name Setaria viridis. RNAcentral describes it as "long non-coding RNA (SVIR_LNC007846)". The record is from RNAcentral. Lineage: Eukaryota; Viridiplantae; Streptophyta; Magnoliopsida; Poales; Poaceae.
GCGGAGUAGGUGCCGUCGGUACUGAAUUUCCAUGUGAUCUCGUCGCGCAUACUGGGCCGAAGCACCACUUACUAGACAAAUUUCCAUAGAAGGACGAACUCCUAGAAGUGUUGCACGGAGAAGGCAUUGUGCUGUAUGUUGAUGUCCUUAAUCCAGUUUCUGUUGCAUAAAGCUUCCCAUAGGCUCCUAUUCUUUUUCCUAGAGACCAAGUAAAUGCGCGGUGCUAUGUCCCUUGGUCGUUGCCCCUGCGCCCAGCCACUGUUCUAGAAGGAAAUUUUCACACCAUCUCCUAUAUCGAUGGUUGUGCAUGCAGCAAAGAGUUUUUUAUCCAUGUUAUUACAGGGAACUUUGGAUCCCACCCAAAGCUUGUCCUCCGCUUUCCACUCUUGCCAUAACCAUCUGAGCCUUAACCCUCUUGUGAACUUCGUGAUGUUUAGGAUACCCACACCCCCUAGCCUAGUCAGCCUGGCGGAUCGUACCCAAUUUACUUUGCAUUUUCCACCGGUUAUGGCCGCCGCCCCUACCUAGAAAAAUUUCUUUUG